RNAcentral lists this long non-coding RNA (258 nucleotides) under Physcomitrium patens. Its description in RNAcentral is "long non-coding RNA (PPAT_LNC000593)". Lineage: Eukaryota; Viridiplantae; Streptophyta; Bryopsida; Funariales; Funariaceae. The record is from RNAcentral.
UCACCAAACAAAAGUCAUGGAAUUAAUUGAUGUGGAGAGACACACAGUGUGCCGGAGGAAUGCAGAAACGAACAGAUUCGAACACAAAUGCGUCCAAAAAAACAUCUGCACGAGGUGCUUUUCAGAAUCCACAAAUCCCAACGAAUCCUUUUUCACAGCAAUCAAAUUUGAAACAUCACAAAAUGUGAUCUCUUGUGCCAAAUUGACGAUGCACUUGUUCACGCCAACUCUCAAGCCUCCCACCAUCUCUACCACCAC